This 510-nucleotide ribosomal RNA is filed under the name uncultured bacterium. RNAcentral describes it as "partial 16S ribosomal RNA". It matches the Rfam family "Bacterial small subunit ribosomal RNA", at positions 28 to 507 of the family's 1533-position model. The record is from RNAcentral.
GACGAACGCUGGCGGCGUGCUUAACACAUGCAAGUCGAACGAAGAGCGAUGGAAGCUUGCUUCUAUCAAUCUUAGUGGCGAACGGGUGAGUAACGCGUAAUCAACCUGCCCUUCAGAGGGGGACAACAGUUGGAAACGACUGCUAAUACCGCAUACGAUCUAAUCUCGGCAUCGAGGAUAGAUGAAAGGUGGCCUCUACAUGUAAGCUAUCACUGAAGGAGGGGAUUGCGUCUGAUUAGCGAGUUGGAGGGGUAACGGCCAACCAAGGCGAUGAUCAGUAGCCGGUCUGAGAGGAUGAACGGCCACAUUGGGACUGAGACACGGCCCAGACUCCUACGGGAGGCAGCAGUGGGGAAUCUUCCGCAAUGGACGAAAGUCUGACGGAGCAACGCCGCGUGAGUGAUGACGGCCUUCGGGUUGUAAAGCUCUGUUAAUCGGGACGAAAGGCCUUCUUGCGAAUAGUGAGAAGGAUUGACGGUACCGGAAUAGAAAGCCACGGCUAACUACGUG